This 4933-nucleotide long non-coding RNA is filed under the name Stegodyphus dumicola. Its description in RNAcentral is "uncharacterized LOC118196247". Lineage: Eukaryota; Metazoa; Arthropoda; Arachnida; Araneae; Eresidae. The record is from RNAcentral.
AAAAAUGGCAUUGCGCACUCUCUUGACUUUAUCCAUGUGCACAGGUCAAACCUAUUUUCACUUUAAAAAAAUCUAAGAAUUGCGCAAACUUGCAUUGUGCACUCCCUUCGCUUUGUCCAUGUACACAUGAUUAAAUCACAUUAAAAGUGAAAGGAGCACCCAAUUUUACAAUACAGUCAAACAAAAAAACACAAUCUCAAUAAAAUAACAUGAAAAAGGAAAAACAUGUUAUACAUUUAAGCACUAUAAAAAGCAAAUAUCUGCUUACCCUAUGUAAAAGUUCCUUCAUCUUUAGUCUGUGGCAUACAAAGUUCCUUAACGACAUCCAAAAACUUCUUAAAAUUAUCUGAACUCGAAUUCGUACAUCGGCAUCGCUUCAUCUGAACUUUUCUUCCCUCAAACCCUUUCAAAUCCAUCUAAAUGGUUUUUACGUUUGACUAGAUGUGUGUCCUUCCUACAUACAAGGACACUUAUAAUGGCUACUAAGUAAACCUUCAUUACACACCAAUCAAUUAAUGCUCCUUUUCCCUUUCAUUCCAGAUCAUACAGAAACUUCAAAUGAAUCUUACUACAUUCAGCCAUUCUACUGUCUAAACAAUAAAACCAACGCACACUCACAAAAGUGCUUACAAAACAUCCCACGAUUCAAAAUUUCCCAGAAUCGUGCACCAGGUUAUGUCACAAUAGGGUUUCCAUAACAUUCAACUACUCAAGCUACCAUAAAUGAAACAACAACUUCGCCAUAAUACAAGGGGUACCUUAAAAUUUAUUUUAAUCCUAGAUUUUUCUUGCAGGGUAACAGAAUUUAGGUACAGCAAAAGUCUUAAGAGUUUAGAGAGACAAAUCCAAAUAGCAUAAAACCUACUAGUGACCGUUUGGGAGAAACGUAUUCUGAUUUGAAGAAAUUAAUUAUUAACCAUUCAUUAGUUUCCACAAGACUCAAUGUUUUUACAUGAUAAUUAGUGUUCAGUGUUUACAUCCGCUGCGUAACGAAGUGUGUCAUGUAGAUUAGAAGUGACAUUCUAAAAGGUGGCUAAAUGUUUCAUCAGAGAUGUAUACUGUAAAUUCUAUGUUUCUUUUUUUAUUGGCUGUUUGUGAAUUUAAUGCAGAUAUAACUUUCAGCUCUGUCAGUGCAGACACAAAUUUCAUUCAUGUGCUUGUCAUGAAUAAUGUAUUGGGUAUUUCCAUCCCCAGUUGAAGAUCAUGCCUAUCUGGCUCCAGUAUGAAAUGUGUCAGUAUACAACUUUCACGAAACCAGUGCAGGAUUCUACCACAAUUUUAGAAAGGCAAAAUGAAAUCUCAAAUAUUUUCUGUUAAAUCUUGGACAUACAAAAUACAGCAGUCGUGGGAAACAUUAUUUCUGUGCAGUUUGCAAGAAAUGGCAUCAUGGCGAUUAGUGUAAAGGAGCGUUUUGGAAAUCAGCUAAAGUUUCACAAGAACAGAAGUAACAUGAAACAUUGAACUCAUGCAUUAAUGAAACAUUUGAAGAUUAAAUUUGAGAUGUCCUUUUGCAAAGGCAGCAUCUUUGAAUGAAUUUCUUAGCUAAGUCACUCUUGCAUGCAAAUAAUUUAUUGCAUAAAACAUUUCAGUGUGAUUUCUCAUGAGAGGAAAUAAGCACAUGUAUUGCAAAAUGACCUUUGAAUUUAAAUGCCCUGCUUUAUUUAGUACAUGUUUAUAAUUUCUCACAGGUGUGGAUAAAAAUAUGUUUUAAACACUCAUUAUAUAUAACAUUCCAGUGUGAUUUCUCAUGAGCACAUGUAUUGUAAAAUGAUCCUUGAAAUUUAAGUGCCCUGCUAUAUUUAGUAAAUGUUUAUCAUUUCUCACUGGUAUGGAUAAAAAUAUGUUUUAAAUACUCGUUUAACUGUGAAUAAUUAGUUACAGGUAGCACAUUUGUGUUAUUUCUCAUUGUUAUGGGUAAGAAUUACACUUGUGUGUGCAGAUGAUUUACAAAGACUGCAUUUAUAUAGUUUGUCUCCAGUGUGUGUAAACAUGCUUAUUAAAUUAUGCCUGCAGGCAAAUGAUUCAUCACAUAUAACUUGUUCAUGUGGUUGGUCGUUAAUGUGGUUAAGAUGUGUGUUUUAUGUGAAUUUUGACUAUAAAUGUCAAGAGCCCAUGAAUGUGGUUUCUUAUGUGUGAAGAAAGCACCACGUGUCUUUAACAUAUUUGUGUGUGCAAAUAACUCGCUAUAUAUAUAUGUGUGUGUGUGUGUAACAAUCAUAUAAUUUCUUAUUUCAUUUCGUAUGCAUGUCUCUGUAGCACUCCAGUAUAACUGACAUCUAUAUAUACCACUGGUAUUCAAACGUUAUUGCAGUGUACUCGGGCUUGAACUCAGCAGACUAAGAACUAACUUAAAACUAAUCAUAACUAAAAAGAUAUAGCCGAAGCUAUCAAAAUUCUAACAGAGUUGGCCCUUUAAUGUUAAUUGACUACAAAGUUAUCAAGGGCCUAGAGUAUGGCCAAGUGUAAUAAUAGCCUAAGAAAGAGAGUAGCCUAAAAAUGCAGAUGCGUGCUAGCCAAAAUCUCUGGUAAUCUUUGGAAGACAGUAGAAUAUCGAGGUUAAAUACCACUCUUCCUCAGUUUGCAUUCAAACGCGAUUCGAAAAAUACAAUCUGGCCAAAAGUAGUAAGUUAAAAUUCAGAAAGUACAGGAAAGAAAGUUUAACUUAAAAUUUAGCUGCUUCCCAAAUUAACCUAAUGAAUCUUACAGUGGCACCCAAACUAAAAGGGUGUUGGAUGAUGAUUCUCCUCACCCAGGAUUUUGUGAUUGGGUCCCCUAAAAUCUGCAGUCACCCUUUAAAAGGGGGAGUAUAUAAAGGUAUUUCUCUCGUCUUCUUGGUGUGGUGAUCUGCAUGCUCAGUGCUUAAUUGAGAGGUCCUAGGUUCGAUUACCGGCAAAGAUGGUUUGCUAAUUUUUUAUCUCUUUGGCUUCCAAAAAAUCGUAAUGUCUCUACAGAAUGAUAAAUACAAAUGUUUUUUAAUCAGCUAAUAUGUUAGAAUACCUCUGGUCAUUGAUGAUUGUUGAACAUUAAUUAUAUGUUGUGAUUUGUUUUUUAUUUUAAAACAUUUUCUUUUCAUGCACACUAAUUAGUAUUUUCUGUUGCUGUAAAAAGCAAAACAUAUCAUUCGAAAAGACAUUUUAUUGUUAUAGGAUAAUGUGUAAAUCCUUUGUUCAAAUUCUCAUAGUUCUCGACUGGAUGGCUAGAAGGAAUUGCUCACAUGAAUCAACAGAGGCCUUUUCACUGAUAGUAAAAUUUCUCUCAUCUAUAUGUAAUACAAAUAACUUGAAAUUAUAUUAAGUACACCUUUUUUUUACUAACAGAAGGUUACAGCAUGUCCUUUUAAACAAAUAAUAACUUGCAUUUUUAAUGUGCGAUUUUUUUUUUUUUUUUUUAAUUUUAUGUGAAAGGCAGGGUUAGAUUGAAUCAUUGAUGACCUAAGCAGUUAUCAGGAUAUAAUUUAAGGUUAGAGGAAUUACCGCAUGACCUUGUUAGAAACUUCAGUUAGGAUUUAUUAUGUCUUGCACAGCUAGAUUUCACGAGAACCAUUUCACACAAAGCAAUUUUGAUAUUUUGUGGGAGAAAAAUUUAUUGUCAAAAAGCAAGCAAAUAGUUGUUUCACGAUACUGAAGCUUUCACCAUACUGGAUUAAGGAAUGAGGGAGCUCUCUUGCAGCCUGCUUUUGGCACAGAUCUACUAGAAUGUCAGCUAAUUUGGCAAAAUCUUAAGAGUCACCAAAUGCCAUUUAUUCGAAAGUGUCGUAUGCAGAGUGUGAAGGCGGAAUAGAGUUAAGUCUCUUUGAAGAAUGUGAUGAUGAUUGACUUAAUGUAAAUCUGCAAUUAUAUUAACUAUGUCGUGUUAUUUAUUAGCCAAGAAAUUUUAUUAGGAAAAGAAAAGUUUCAUACUUGCUCCAUUACAGCAUUUGGUUUGUACAGAAACAAGCAAAAAUACUCAUGAGUUAUAAUUCAAGCUGCUAAUACAAUUUUAAUUACCAGUUCCCUCAUUAUGUAUUAUUAUUUAAUUGUUGUUUUUGUCAUGAAAUAUUUCUCAUAAUCAAUAUUCAACUUAAUUUUUUUAAUAUGUUAUUAACCUAUUUUAGCCUGCAUUGUGAAAAUUAGUAUUUAUAUUUCAUUAUUUCUAAACAAUUGAUUCCUUAGAUAUGCUUUACAUUAUUGAACAUUACAUUAAAAGAAUUAUAGCACAUACAGAUGUUUUAAAACAUUACAAAACAAAAGAUACAGCUACUCCGUACAUUGCAUGCCUAGUUUUAAAGCAUGUGAAUGUUUAUUAAUGAAUAGUCAAGAAAAAUAAUAAUUAUUUAAAACUAUGUAAAUAGUUACGGCAGGUCAGUUCUGCAUAUUCACAAAUAAGCUAAACUUAUUCAAUUAAUCACAUUUAUUUACAAUUACAUAGCGAAAGAAAAGAACAUGCUACCAAAACAUCACACCACGUUUCUGCGUGCUAGCGAUAACAGCACAGGCACGAGGAAGACUAACUCACUAGAGUCAGAUCACUUUCCUUGAGAAAAAUGUUCAGAGUCUACUUGCAGCACUGCUAUAUAUGAAAAAGACAAACAGUUAACAUUUAAUUUAAAAGUUUGUUGCAUGGUUGCUGCAUGUUAUUGAUGAAGUCUAACGUUAGGAAUGGAGACAAAUAAAUAAGCAGAGAUUCAUCUAAAUUAACAUAUAUUGAAACACAAAAUGGCACAAGUACAGUAAAUUCUACAUGGUAAAGUAAAACAGUGACAACAACUAAAAAAAAAGAACGUUGCCAAGAGAAAAAUAUAAAAAGUGUGUUGCCACACAUGUUGUAAAAUACAAAUGGGAAAUAUAAUCACAAAUAAAAGUUAUUUGCAACAGUUAUUAGCAUAGAUUGAAAAAGAGAACAAUUAUAAAUUAUUAAGAAAAAGGGAAGAAAUAAAAACAAUAAUAAAUCAAAA